GUAUUAUCUUUUCAUUCAUCAAAGAAUCCUAAAACAAUGAUGAGUUUCAACAAUGACUUUUGAUCACCCUCUCAGUAAUAUCUUGACGGUGACUGCUAACUUCACCUGCAUGCAUAAAUUAUUAUUAAAACAACAUUAGAAUCAGUUUCAGUCUAAUUAAAGUGUAUGGUGAUGGUAUUUUCGUAACAACUCAGGCUAUGUUGCCAAAGCAGAAUGCAAUAAGUAGGUUAUGUCAACAUUGGAACUGAGAAGAAUGUGUACAAAAUUUUGAAGGGGGGUGUGCAAUGCUGUUUCAUGCAUUUAGAGUUAUUUACACUGUUAAAGAGUUGGAUUCUCAUGCUAAGCAUGGACAAAAUUUCAAAAAACAAAUUGGACGUAUGACAGAGUAUUUCUGUGCUAAAAAUCUUACUUCAGGGUUUGUUCAAGUUUUGGAGAGUUUUUUUUUCCGAUUGUGGCUCUUCACGACGUAGACAAGGGUGGAACUCCUUAUAUGGGCAUUUCUCCCAGAAGAGAAAUGCCCAUAUAAGGGCACACAUCGACCAGAGCAAGAGCGAAAUCGUGCUCAACAAUGUGCUUCAUCCGGCGGCAGUGUUGCAUGGGACUCGCUCGGGAAGAAUGUCUGUAAAGAAGUGUGUUUUUGGUUGUAAGGGAAAGAUAACUUUGUUCAUCUUCCUAAAGAACCAAGUGUUAUGUAAACAGUGGAUGCAGUUUGUUUUUCCAAAGCAGCAACGCAGUUUUACAAGCGUGUCUGUUGUCGAUGGUUUUAUAAACAAGUCGCAGUUCGACGCUGGAUUUGCACAUCGUUUGAUACUGAAAGAUGAAGCAGUCCCAGCUGUAAAAGAUCCCCAUCAUGAUUCAGAACUGCAGACGAAACCCUGCCCUGAGCUGACUUUACUUCUUCUCUGAAGGAUGGCUGCUCAUUCAGAUCUCACAAAAUGAAUGUUUAAAGAAAGCCAAGACGCCACCAGGUAAGAAAACAGCAAAACAAAGAACAGAGAAACGUAGGAGGUCUGUGCUUUUAGCUGCAUUCCUGUCCUUAUGCUCUUUUCGCGUACAUUCCUUUAUGAAUACAUUAAGAUUAAUUUGACCCCUUUUACAAAUACAAAUUUCCCCAUUUAUCUCUUGCCCUCCCUAAUCUCUGACACUCAUCAUCUGUUCAUUAAAGCUACCUUUGCCUGGGUGCAUUAUUUGGCUCUGGAGUCUCUAAACAGGCUUUGUUCUUUAUUACACAGUUGCCCCAGUGCAUUCCGCAAACUCAUUAAAAAACUAUUAGCGCCUGUUGAUUUCUCAGAUGCUCCCCCAUUAUUAGAUAAGAUCUACUCUUAGAGAGGCAUUCACAGGGUACCGGCUCAUUUUGUUUGUGUCUCGACCUGCUCAUCCAUUUGUGUGUCCAGAAUUACUGCAUGCACACUUUUCAUCCGCUUGUAUGUUUAAGUGCACUUCGAAAGAAAACUGCAACAUAGGCGUUUACAUUUAUGUGUAUUUAUUCAUGCUGGCAGGAGCAAUUUAUAUGUUUUACAAGGGAAUAUGUGUUAACAUGGUUUUAUCAUUUCAUGUUCAUGCCCUUCUCCCAUCUCACCUGGUCCCAGCUGUGUUGUAGCCCUCCAGUGCUGAAAGGGACCCCUGUCUUUCUUUCUUUCUGUGUGCAGAAAGGAGAGAAUAUGAAGGCAAUAAAAGUUCCGUGCUAGGCCUGGCGGAACUGCA
Long non-coding RNA from Cyprinus carpio (common carp), 1704 nucleotides. The record is from Ensembl. Lineage: Eukaryota; Metazoa; Chordata; Actinopteri; Cypriniformes; Cyprinidae.